GGCAGAACGGGCGCUUCUGCCUGGAGGGUAACUGGACCCUUGGAGUUCGCCUCCGCCCCCCGACACGGGCUGAACAGGCUCCUCCACGUGGGCGGCACCGUACACAGUUGGCUAUAUCUCCUUCGGUGCUGAAGAGUGCAAACAUACAGCAUUAAAGUUGGAAGGGACUUUUGAAUUGAUGUGACCCAUGCUGAGGAAGAAUCCAUGGCAAAAGCAGAAUCGGAACUCUGACUUCCUAUCCUCCCAUUCCAGAAUUUUUUGCUGAGUGCCACCAGGCCUCACCAUAAGUGUGUUGGUGCUCAAUAAACACUUGAAGUUGCUGUACUCUCUCA
Molecule: long non-coding RNA, 332 nt
Organism: Sapajus apella (tufted capuchin)
Lineage: Eukaryota; Metazoa; Chordata; Mammalia; Primates; Cebidae
Exons: 2
Source: RefSeq, a predicted model, not a curated record